RNAcentral lists this long non-coding RNA (4987 nucleotides) under Sus scrofa (pig). Its description in RNAcentral is "lncRNA (ENSSSCG00030007337.1)". The record is from RNAcentral. Lineage: Eukaryota; Metazoa; Chordata; Mammalia; Artiodactyla; Suidae.
UCUCUUUUCUUUCCUUGACGUUGCACCUCAUCCUUCUAAAUUUUGGCAUCCUUUAGAAAAGUUCCUGUCUCCAGCUUAUUCUUCCUCCCUGGGUUCCUGGGUGUUUACUUUAGCUUUAGCUGUUUAUGUUUGUUCUCAAGUGCAUCUUUCAAGAUGUGCAGUCUAGUCCAUGUCCAAUUAGAUCCUGAUGGCAAAUCAAAUUUAAGUGUGAACUGUGGAAUUUUCCUUGGCCUUUUAAAACCUCUCCUAACAGCCAUCUCUCUCAUCAUCUCUUUUUACCUUUUACCUUUUUAACUGAUCAGUUAGGAGAAUGAAAAUGCCAAGCCUUACUGCGUCCUCCGAAGCCUCUCUGCACUUCAGUUGCUCUGUGAAAUGGAGACAUAGCAGUAUCUUCCUCUGGGGGCAAUUAAGAGGCUUAUAGAAGGCAGUAGACAUAAAUUACCACAUUUUGGCAUUGACCAGUUAGUGAGCACUCAGUAAAUAUUAGUUGUCAUUACUUCCUAAUGACACCUCCUUUUUCCCCCAACGUUUAUAAGCUUUUCUAAAUGAAUUAACCAAAAUAUAAUUAAUGGGAGCAAUACCCACAAGUACACAGUGGCACAUACACACUAGCACAUAGGCACACACAUGUAUCCUGAUUUGGGUGGUGGCUACACAGGCACAUACAUGUUCCCAAGCUUAUCGAGCUCCGUACCUACGAUGUAGGCGUUUUCUAGAUGUGAGCCAUGCCUCAGUCUGCUACUUGUGGAAAAAAAUGUAAUGAGGAGCAGAGUAGUAGAGCAGUUAAAAGUGUGGGUUCUGGAACUAGAUUUAGGUUUACAUCCUGGCUCUAGUACCAACUAGCUGUGUGAUGUGAGGCACGAGAAGGCCUGUGCUUUUGUUUCCUCAUUAGUUGGAUCUGGAUAAAAGUACCUAUCUCAUAGGGUUGCUAUGAUGACUGCAGGAAGUAAUCUAAAAUAGUGCUUGGCGUAUCCUAAAUAGCAUAUAAAUAUUGUUUUUAAAUAUAGUUUCCUAAAAUAACAGCAUUGCGUGUAUCUAUGAUCUAUAUCCUUUUCUUUGAAUUGCCCCUAUCUUUACUUGGGUAGUGUCUUUUUUUUAAUGCAGCGAAUAAGCCUUUAUACGUUUUGCUACCUCUUUGUAUAUCCAACGUUUAGCAUGGCACUACAUUUACCAAGAGCAAAAUCAACAUUCAUUGACUAACUAAAUGUUGACCCAGAAGGUCAUGUCGGAUCAAAAUAUGACAAUUUUUAUUGGAAAAACUGAUUAAAUUGAGGAUUUCUAACGAGUAGUGACAUUGUAUAUGACUGAUUUUAACCAAAUUUCCCCAAAGCAUAAUUAUUCCUUUAGCAGCAAAUUUAAAAAUGGUAUGAAAAUAAGUUUGUGAGAAGUAAACAGAUUUUAUUUUAACCUCAACUAUUCUACUCAACCUUUCAGAUGCCAGAAAAUUAUAGUAAUAAUAAAUUGGAAUAACGUCAGAUGAUGGAAAAUUCAAACCCACAUGGACAGUGGUCUCUUGUAAAUAGAGUGGCUGUGGAUCUGGAGCUUUAAACAUUUAAAUCUGAAAGGCAAAUGUCCGAGUGUCUAGGGACUCAUAGUGGCCUUUUUCAUUAUGCGUUCGAAUUGUUUAAACCACAUUUUAAGGUGGAGUGUAAAACCUGUUUGAUCUAACAGUCAUUUGCAUGAAUUAGGAGAAUGUCAUUGUGCCUUAGGAGAGAAUUACAGACUAUAUUUUUUCAAUUUUAGCUGAUGGUAAUCAUAUUAUUAAUGUGACAUUGUCUCUUCUCUCCGUGAUACAGUAAAAGGAACAAGAUGCCACUUGAUUCCUAAUUCUCGGUUUGGGAACUGAUAAUUACCACUUAUGGCAUACCAGUUAUUUUUCAGUUCCUGUCCUUGGUGGAUUUCACAGGUUUUAUUAAACCGUGGCAGUAUGAUUAUUAUCCCUGUGUAGACAUAAGAACACUAACAAUAUAGCUCUCAAUUUAAAGCUCGAACAUCCUUCACUGGGUGUGUGAACAUUUUCCUCUUUAAUGUGAUGUUUCCAACAUUUAGAAAAUUGACGUACAGAACCAGAAUAAUUUAAAAACUGUGAAAUAACUAUAUAGAAAGUGAUAGGAUGAUAUGUAAUAAAAUAAAGGCCAUUAUAGAAGUGAAAAAAUACAUUUUACUGGUUGCAAUAAAUCUGAUUCUGAAAAAAAAAAGAAAAUGUUUAUGAUGUAUAUGGGGAGAGGGAGAGAGUUAUCCUCUUACAAAGUAAAUUUGAAACAGUACGUUAAAUAGUUUGAUUUGAGCAACAGAACAACAAUGAAGUUAGGACUCAUGGCUUCAGACAGGUGUAUUUCCAGUUAAGGGGAGUAUUUCACCCCUGGUAGGGCCAUGAACCCAACAGGCACAGCCACACAGGAUCUGAGCCUUGUCUUCGACCUGCUCUUCAGCUCACGGCAACACUGGAUCCUCGACCUACUGAGCUAGGCCAGGGAUCGAACCCGCAUCUUCAUGGAUGCUAACUGGGUUUGUGAGACAUAAGGGGAACUCCUGGUUUUAAUGGUGUAUUAAUAAAAAAAGUCAGGGGGAGGUGUAUCAGGAAACUAAUAUUUAAAAUAUUCAAAUAUCUUAUGGACAGUGAAAAGUCCUACCAGGCUUUUUUCAAAGAUAAGAACUUAAAAGAGUGCAGUAGUUCUAACAUAGGUCAUGAGAAUAUCUCUGGAUACGACAUAGCUCCAUCUUUUUGUAUAAAACUUGCCUUUCAAGGGGUGAACAAUACUCUCUCUAUAUCUUAUUUUGGUCAGUGAGAUAGGAAAUACAUAUGACAAGGAACUUAUUUUAUUUUUAAAAAUUAACACUUGGGACUAAGGUGUCUUUUGGUUCCAAACUAGUGUUGCACUAAUUUGUGCUGAUUUUAAUAUCGUUAGACUUUGUCAAAUGAAUGGGUAGCUAAAACCAUCCCUUUGUUAGUGGUCAGUGUUACAUCGUCCGUUCUGCACGCAGCUGAGGCUGUCUCUCGUCCUCUCAUUAUCCCAGUAAGAGUUUCGACCCCUUAGCCAGGUAGUAAUCACUGGUUCUUGAGAAAGCUGGGAACGUUUGAGUCAGUCAGACGAGCGAGAGAAACAAAGACAGUGAUAAAGGGAGCAACGAGCAUUUAGUGGAACAAAUUGCCUGUGAGAAGCCUGGGGAUUGGCCCAGGAGCCUUGGAAAGCGGAGCUCGGUGACAGGACGCCUGCAGGAGAAGCCAGCCACAUCUUCAGGUGGGGAGGAAGGGGCUUGCAAGAUGUCAUGGUCUUCUCUAUAAAUUCAGAAACAGGUCCUCUGCUCGGUCAGUACACCUUGAAUGAGUUGAGGGAUUUAGUGAGGGAAGAAAAACUGAGUUUUAAUGGGCACGGCAAAAUUCAGCGUUAGGCAUGGAGACGAAUGCGGGAAGGAGUCACUGAGGAGCAACGGUGAGGUCUUGGCGUGUUAUGACGCGAUCAGGAUGGCUCUGCAAGCUUUCCAGUGGCCCCUGACAGAGAAGGACAAAGGGAAAUACAAUUCCACACUAAGUGAGACGACAGCGGACUCUCAAGUGGGGGGGAGACCAAGGAAUUAUGUGGGGAAGGUCAGAUUCGGAAGGGGUCAGGUAGGUCUGAUUCGGAAAUCUUAGACCAGAAACCCAUACGCUCCAUAAAGUUAGCAAAAUACUAUGGGCAAAAUAUGGGACCUUAUUCUAGGAGCUGCUAGUAAAAGGUGGUAACCUGCUGCCCUAGUCUCUGAUAAUAGCAGUCGAAAGAAAAACUGUCAGGUCAGGCCAGUAGAGCUUCCACCAUUACUCUGUUAGUGGAGGGCUCUCUGUGUUGUAUAUUCUGCCUGUUUGGGGAACGGGCAAACAUUUUUUUAGAGAUAGAGGGUAUAUGCUUUCCACUUUGUGGGCGUAUUUUCUAUCACAGCUGCUAAAAUCUACCAUCAUAGCAAAAAAACAGGUUUCGAAAAUCUGAAAAUGUGUUUAUGUGAAAACUACAGGUGGUUGCCCAGAAACUCAACCGUGAAAUCCCUGUUAGAAAUCAACAUGAAGAAGUACCAGUAUAGGAGUUCCCUUGUGGUGCCGUGGGUUAAGGAUCCAGCCUUGUCAGUGCUGUGGCACAGGUUCAAUCCCUGGCCUAGGAACUUCCACCUGCUAUAGGCACAGCCAAAAAAAAAAAAAAGUAGCAGUAUAAAGAGUGUUGCAGUCCUUUUAAAAGUAAAUAAACUACCUAGCCUACUGGAUGUUAAAUAAUUUUUUCAAUAUACCUACAAGAAUCUUUACCUGUAUGUGUAUGCAUAUGUGUGUGCACAUACACACAUUCAUUUGUGUAUGUCUGUAUUUUAUAUACCUAAGGCUGUCUUCGUCUCUCUAGAUAAUAUAUAGAAUCUAAAGAUAUAAGCUCUCUACCAAGGAAUGCCAAUCUGUUUGGAGAAGGAAAUGGGGGAAGGGAGAUUGGAGGACUGCAGGUAAUUAUAAACUAUCACGUAGUUGGACAGUGAACUGACUGCUAAAAAGGUGACUCAAUGACUGCGAGUGCGGAAUGCCUGUAUACCAAGCAGGAAGGUUUCUCUGCCUUUGGAUUUGAGAUGUGAGACUGUAGCCAACCGGGAACUUUUUUCUCACAUAGAGUAUUUCACGUACUCUCAUGCUUUGGAAAGAUGAAAUAAUAACUCAUUUUUCCAGGAUUAUUUAAUUUCUCCUUCUUAGUUCUUUCUGCUCAAUGUUAUGGAAGCUGAAUAGUUAUUUAGAGUCAGAAAAAUGUAAAAAUUAAGGAGUUUCCAUCAUGUCUCAGCAGAAAUGAAUCCUGACUAGCAUCCAUGAGGGCGCAGGUUAGAUCCCUGGCCUCACUCAGUGAGUUAAGGAUCCGGCGUUGCUGUGAGCUGUGGUGUAGGUUGCAGACACGGCUCAGAUCCCUCAUUGCUACAGCUGUAGUGUAGGCCAGCGGCUAUAGCUCCAAUUUGACCCCUAGCCUGGGAACCUCCAUAUGCCAAGGGU